This is a non-coding RNA of Scardovia inopinata F0304, 399 nucleotides long. It matches the Rfam family "transfer-messenger RNA". Rfam says of the family: Bacterial tmRNA, also known as 10Sa RNA or SsrA, is named for its dual tRNA and mRNA-like properties. Its role is to liberate the mRNA from a stalled ribosome. To accomplish this part of the tmRNA is used as a reading frame that ends in a translation stop signal. NCBI's taxonomy places the organism in Bacteria, Bacillati, Actinomycetota, Actinomycetes, Bifidobacteriales, Bifidobacteriaceae. The record is from Rfam.
GGGGCCGAUUGGUUUCGACGGUGAUCUGUUCGUUGCUGGGAAGCGUGCCGAGAACGCAGGGGUCCACUCGUUAAUGUCCUCCUGCAAGAAUUAAGUGCUAAAUCUAAUCGCACUGAGUUCGCUCUUGCUGCCUAAGCUUCGCGCUAGGAACUAAACAGCGAGUUUGCGACUCCGCCCACCUCUUCUCGUCUUUGGAAGGGAGCUGGACGUCAUUAAGAAGACUUGCCUGAAACGUUGAGACUCAAGGCGUUUGAGGGACUAUUAUUGCGUCUAUGCCCGCCGCACGUUGUUUGCGACUGUGCUGGGGCAGACAGAUAGCCAUCAGGCCAGCAAACUACGCACGUAGAAGACAGUGAGUACGGUUACCGGACCCGGGUUCAAUCCCCGGCGGCUCCACGA